GUGCUCACUUUGCCAGCACAUAUACUAAAAUUGGAAAAAUAUAGAGAAGACUAGUAUGGCCUGUGCUCAAGGAUGACAUGCAAAUUAGUGAAGCAUUCCAUAUUUUU
RNAcentral lists this small nuclear RNA (107 nucleotides) under Chinchilla lanigera (long-tailed chinchilla). Lineage: Eukaryota; Metazoa; Chordata; Mammalia; Rodentia; Chinchillidae. The record is from RNAcentral.